RNAcentral lists this unclassified non-coding RNA (206 nucleotides) under Glomus sp. RNAcentral's name for it is "partial contains 5.8S ribosomal RNA and internal transcribed spacer 2". The stretch from base 1 to 72 matches the Rfam family "5.8S ribosomal RNA", at positions 84 to 154 of the family's 154-position model. The record is from RNAcentral. Lineage: Eukaryota; Fungi; Glomeromycota; Glomeromycetes; Glomerales; Glomeraceae.
GUGAAUCAUCAAAUCUUUGAACGCAAACUGCACUCUCCGGUUUUCCGGGAGAGUAUGCCUGUUUGAGGGUCAGCCUAAAAAAAAUCGACAUUGUUGCUGUUAUUUAAUGGUGACUUUCGUCGGAGAUUGGGUUAUCUUAAACCUUUUUUUUUUUUGUUUUAAGGACUUAAAAUUUUUUUUUACCAUUUCCUGAAAGUUUUUAAGAU